UGCCCAGUGUCAGAUGGGAUUGGCUACAGCCAGACAAACACUUGGUGGCAGUACUUUUGAUUUCAAAGGUGCAAACAGUGUCGGGUCGAGUCCUUUUGCUCCGAUGUCAACGCGCUAAAAGCUCAAGGAGGAAGAAGAGGAGUCGUCUUCCUUUGAGCGUAGCAUCACUGUUUUGCAAUUUAUGGAACACAAACCUGCUCCUGUGUACUGCAUUAUUUGUAGACCACCUGUGUGACAUCUCAGAAACACUCCAGCCCCCACCCACCUCACCUUGUGUGAAUUAAAACAAGUCCCUGGUAGCAUUUAUCCAGGGUGUUGUGAACGAAACAAGCAACAGGCAAAACCGUUCUACCUUGUUUACCUGAGAGACUCUGAAUGGACCAAGCCGUGUCUAAUACCCAUUAACACAGUCUGCAAAGCCCACAGAGUGACGUGGAGCCGUUUCCACUGUAGAAAUGUUGUGACCUAAAGCAGAACAGCUGUGCCAUCACCAGUCGAGCUACCAGCAGUUGACAAGACGGGUGUUGAAAGAAUCAAGCAGAGCAUUUCACAGACUUCCCUUAAGAGAUCCUGCAAGGACCAAGUUGUGGCUAAUAGCAGUCAAAAUGGACAUGCAUGCACCGUUUGCAAAGCUGAGAGAGUUUACAUAUAUCCGGAGGCCAGUUCCACAGUAGCAAAGAAACUACAGGGCACAGCUGUGCCAUCACAACGACAAGGGGGCAGAAAGUACCUUAGCAAGCUCAACGUCCUCCAUGUCUCUCUGGCAGCUCAUACUGUAUGAGAUGAAUGAUCCAGGAUUUGUCUUCCUGCUGCCCCCCUCUCUUUAAUGGUGAAAUCUGACAGAGCCAGGCUUCAAAUGGAAAACAAGGAGCUCCCCAGUGAGGAGGAGGCAAUUAUGGUCUGGCCUGAUGUGCAGCCUAAUGCCAAGAAUUCUAUAUCACACUAAAAACAACAAAGCAAAACAAAAGGUGCUACAUUCCCUCUCCAUUCAUAAUGGCUUGAUUGCUGCCGACUCCAAGCAGUCCUCCUGCAUGCCAGCGAUACCUCUUUUUUUUAUCGAGUUCUGUGAAAAUGAGGUGAAGAGUAAAUGGGGAGGAAAAGGUAUAGGAUUGAGCAGAGUGGCACUGACAUGCCACAAACACGAGCCAAGUAAUUUCACAUUUUUUCCAAGGUUGUUCUUUUAAAGUCACUUCCACAGAAGUGAAACCACAAUGUCAAGAUGCCUCAGAGAGCUCGACUGAGGAGUUACAGCUGCAAACCUGAAUUAGAAAAGAAAUUGAAUAGAUUGCUUCAAAAGAUGUUUGUGACCAGUAUUGGCAUAAUCGAUUCAUUUCUUUAAAUGCCAGUAAGGAACUGAGAAAUGCACAUUAAUGAAGAUGAGAUUUGAAGAUAGUGUUCUCCUCUGAGAGUCUCGGGGUACACAACACCGAGUCCCUCCAUGCAUUAUUCAGAAAUCAAAAUAAUCUCUUAACAAACACCUUUGUCACUGGUUUGAAUCAACUCUCAACUUU
Long non-coding RNA from Monopterus albus (swamp eel), 1511 nucleotides. RefSeq lists it as uncharacterized. The transcript is spliced from 3 exons. The record is from RefSeq and is a predicted model, not a curated record. Lineage: Eukaryota; Metazoa; Chordata; Actinopteri; Synbranchiformes; Synbranchidae.